UCAAUUGCGUUUAGGGGCGCAUAUUAUUAAGCGGAAGAAAAGAAAAUAACAAUGAUUCUUUUAGUAACGGCGAGUGAACAAAGAAAAGCUCAACAUGGAAAAUCCGACAGAUAGCUACCCGCGAUUUGUCGGAAUUGUCAAGUUGAAAAACAUUCCAAGAGUUCUUUUUUAUAAUAUGACAAUGAGAAGAAGUAGAUAGAAAUGUCUCUCCUUAGAGGGUGAAAGACCCGUAUUCUUAAUCAUAAAACUGAUCAAUUGGAAUGUUUUGUUUUUGAGUCGUGUUCUUUGAGACUGGAGCACUAAUUAGUGUGAUACAUUUCACAUAAAGCUAAAUAUUUGUAAGAAACCGAUAGUAAACAAGUACCGUGAGG
Molecule: non-coding RNA, 371 nt
Filed under: Plasmodium falciparum Palo Alto/Uganda
Lineage: Eukaryota; Apicomplexa; Aconoidasida; Haemosporida; Plasmodiidae
Description: Eukaryotic large subunit ribosomal RNA
Rfam family: Eukaryotic large subunit ribosomal RNA
Source: Rfam by way of RNAcentral